RNAcentral lists this ribosomal RNA (238 nucleotides) under uncultured Actinomycetes bacterium. RNAcentral describes it as "uncultured actinobacterium partial 16S ribosomal RNA". It matches the Rfam family "Bacterial small subunit ribosomal RNA", at positions 96 to 334 of the family's 1533-position model. The record is from RNAcentral. Lineage: Bacteria; Bacillati; Actinomycetota; Actinomycetes.
UGGCGAACGGGUGAGUAACACGUGAGCAACGUGCCCAAGGACUCUGGAAUAACUUCGGGAAACCGGAGCUAAUACUGGAUACGAGACGUAAAGGCAUCUUUAGCGUCUGGAAAGAAUUUCGGUCUUGGAUCGGCUCACGGCCUAUCAGCUUGUUGGUGAGGUAAUGGCUCACCAAGGCGACGACGGGUAGCCGGCCUGAGAGGGUGACCGGCCACACUGGGACUGAGACACGGCCCAG